AUGGAGGAUUCCGGAGGGCAGAAUGGCAAUGCCCAUGCCCCUGCAGCUGCAGGCAACACCUCCGACGAGCCGCUGCAGCAGCAGCCAACUGGCGCCGACGAGGAGGAGCUCCUGUGGAAGCUGCGGAAGUACCUGGUGCUGAUGGCCAUCCUCGUGGCGGCCAUCACGUUCCAGGCGGGGCUGGCCCCGCCGGGCGGCUUCUGGCAGGACAACGACGAGCACGGCCACGUCGCCAGUGACAUCGUGAUGAGGUCCAGCUACCCCAGGCGGUACCUUGUCUUCUUCUACUUCAACACCACGGCGUUCGGGGCCUCGCUCAUGGUGCUCAUACUGCUCCUGCUGAGGGAGCUGACCCACAAGGCGGUCUGGCUCCGCGCGCUCCAGUUCGCCAUGAUUCUUGGCUUGCUGGGGCUCAUGGGGGCCUACGCCGCUGGGAGCUACAGGGAGGUGAAGACCUCUGUUUACAUCUGGGUGUUACUUGUCGGCAUAUUCGCGUAUGUCACACUUCAUGUGGUAUUCUUCAAGCAUCUGGCACCUAAGAAGCUGCAAGUUUUAUUAUCCGGUAUUAGUGAAAGUUGGAAGGAAACUCUGAGGCACAUUUUCAUGCCAUCAAAAACAGACAUUGCAACAGAUGUGCAAGAGGCGCCAGUCCAGAUGGAAGAAGUAGUAGACCUUGAAAGAAGUCGCAGCUUGGUUCUUGAUCUUGCAGAAGAAGAGAAGAGAAAAAUUGCAGAAGAGGCUGCAAAGGAGAGAGAGGAAAGGGAAAAUCUUGAAAGAAAUCGCAGCUCCUUACUGGUUCUUGCCACAUUGGUAGCAACAGUGACAUAUGUCGCAGGGCUAACCCCUCCAGGUGGCUUCUGGUCUGAUGGUGACAGUAACCACAUUGCUGGUGCUCCGGUGCUCCGAGACCAUUAUCCACGUCGAUUCAAGGCGUUCUUAAUCUGCAAUGCCACUGCUUUUGCUGGAUCCCUUGUCAUCAUCAUCAUGGUCCUCAGUCAAACAGCGAUGGAUUAUGUUGUUAAGUCAAAUGCUCUGCGGUUGUGUGUGAUAGUUAGUCUCUUUGGGCUUAUGGGGGCAUAUGCUGCUGGAAGUUGCAGGGAGGUACAUACAUCUAUCUAUGUCUUUGCCCUUGUUGCUGCAGUCUUGCUCUACCUCAUCAUUCAGUGUAUUGAACUUGCUUUGUCUAAGUUGGCAUGUAUUGCAAACACCAUCACACGUGUGAAAGAGAGAAAUAAAGAAAUGGUUCAGAAGGUGAGGGAUUUCAUCAAGGCCUUGUUGGAACCUGACAUGCAAGAUCAAUCAAACAACGGCACCCCAGGCACUGAUGUUAAGAAUGAUUUCCAGAAGUUGCGCACAUACCUUCUAUUGCUUGGCAUCCUUGCUGCCACAGUCACCUUCCAAGCUGGGAUGAAUCCACCAGGAGGCUUCUGGACAGAUAACAGUGAUGGGCAUAUUGCUGGUGAUCCAAUUUUGGAGGCCAUCAGUCCCAAGCGCUACAAGAUAUUCUUCUAUUGCAAUGCCACAGCAUUUGUAGCCUCUUUGGCCAUCAUCAUCAUACUCCAGAGCCAGUUGAUUACCAUUCAUGCCAUGAGGCGUCAUGUACUGCAAACAGCGAUGACACUGGUGCUCUUUGGUCUUAUGGGAGCCUACGUUGCUGGAAGCAGCAGGAAGUUCUCAACAUCCAUUUAUGUGUUCAUCCUAGUCCUCCUGGUUUUCGCCUAUGUUGUACUUCAUACUCUAUAUGUACCUCCCAUUAUCAAGAUAUGGUGGGAGAGCAUAAUAGGGGCUUCUUCUAGACCUGCUGAUACUCCAGAAGACAAAGAUUUGCGGAAGAGGCGGAAGUUUCUGAUAUUGCUCGCAAUUCUAGCAGCUUCUAUCACAUACCAAACUGGUAUAAGCCCACCAGGUGGCUUUUGGACUGAUAAUGAAAACGGCCACCGAGCAGGUUACUCGGUGUUUCGUGAUGAGUUCCGAGAACGCUAUAGGGUGUUCUUCUACUUCAAUGCUACUGCUUUCAUGGCAUCCCUGGCAGUAAUUCUGUUGCUUGUUAGCAAGAGGCUAUGCGACAAAGGUCUGAAGUGCUAUGCGCUGCGUGCAUGCGUACUAGCUGAUCUGAUCAGCCUCAUUGGUGCUUUUGCUACUGGAAGCUGCAGAAAAGUGUCAACAUCUUUCUAUAUCAUUCUCGUUGUUCUUGCAGUGUUUGUCUAUGUCAUAAUGCAAGUCCUGCUUCUGAAAUUUGCAAAAGAAAAGGUGAAUUGCUCGCUGCUGGGGCUGAUGUUCAAGUUCAAAGCCAAGCCUUCCGAGCACCAAGAUUCAUUAACGAAUCACACGACAAGCACAAGUGAUAUUGAUAGUAAGAGAACGGAGCACAAAUGGCGCAAAGAUUUGAUGCUGAUCGGAACUCUUGCAAUCACUGUCACAUACCAAGCCGGUCUGCUUCCGCCUGGAGGAGUUUGGCCUGAUGACAAGGAUGGCCAUUUUGCAAGUGACCCAAUCCUCCAUGAUACCAACCUAACACGAUACAAGGUAUUCUUCUAUUGCAACGCCACAGCAUUCAUGGCCUCAAUGGUCAUGGUCAUCCUCCUACUGAACAACACAAUAAGCAAGUACAAGAGAUCUCUCUUUGCCAUGAAAACAGCAAUGAUCUUGGACUUGCUUGGUUUACUUGGGGCAUAUGCCGCGGGCAGCUGCAGGAAGUUGAAGACAUCUGCAUACAUUUUUGCACUCGUCAUUGCAGUGAUCAUCUACAUCGUCAUUCAUGUCUUGUUGUCAUUUGACAAAGUGGCGCGGUUAGUGAAGGAGAAGGGGGAAAAGUGGGUGCAAUGUCUGAAAAGGUGCUUCAGUUGCAACUGA
Molecule: ribosomal RNA, 2853 nt
Filed under: Triticum aestivum (bread wheat)
Lineage: Eukaryota; Viridiplantae; Streptophyta; Magnoliopsida; Poales; Poaceae
Description: partial small subunit ribosomal RNA
Source: RNAcentral